Ovis aries (sheep) is the source of this 72-nucleotide transfer RNA. It matches the Rfam family "tRNA". Rfam says of the family: Transfer RNA (tRNA) molecules are approximately 80 nucleotides in length. Their secondary structure includes four short double-helical elements and three loops (D, anti-codon, and T loops). Further hydrogen bonds mediate the characteristic L-shaped molecular structure. tRNAs have two regions of fundamental functional importance: the anti-codon, which is responsible for specific mRNA codon recognition, and the 3' end, to which the tRNAs corresponding amino acid is attached (by aminoacyl-tRNA synthetases). tRNAs cope with the degeneracy of the genetic code in two manners: having more than one tRNA (with a specific anti-codon) for a particular amino acid; and 'wobble' base-pairing, i.e. permitting non-standard base-pairing at the 3rd anti-codon position. The record is from Rfam. NCBI's taxonomy places the organism in Eukaryota, Metazoa, Chordata, Mammalia, Artiodactyla, Bovidae.
UCCCUGGUGGCUCAGAUGGUAAAGCGUCUGCCUGCAAUGCGGGAGACCCAGGUGCGAUCCCUGGCUCAGGAA